UACGUAGGGCGCAAGCGUUAUCCGGAAUUAUUGGGCGUAAAGGGCUCGUAGGCGGUUUGUCGCGUCUGCCGUGAAAGUCCGGGGCUCAACUCCGGAUCUGCGGUGGGUACGGGCAGACUAGAGUGAUGUAGGGGAGACUGGAAUUCCUGGUGUAGCGGUGAAAUGCGCAGAUAUCAGGAGGAACACCGGUGGCGAAGGCGGGUCUCUGGGCAGUAACUGACGCUGAGGAGCGAAAGCGUGGGGAGCGAACAGG
Molecule: ribosomal RNA, 253 nt
Filed under: uncultured bacterium
Lineage: Bacteria
Description: partial 16S ribosomal RNA
Rfam family: Bacterial small subunit ribosomal RNA
Source: RNAcentral